RNAcentral lists this long non-coding RNA (1549 nucleotides) under Nicotiana benthamiana. RNAcentral describes it as "long non-coding RNA (NBEN_LNC041403)". Lineage: Eukaryota; Viridiplantae; Streptophyta; Magnoliopsida; Solanales; Solanaceae. The record is from RNAcentral.
UCCACCACCGGCAGCCGGCGUCCCAUGGUCUCCAAAAUAACACCAAAGUGGCAUCUCCCUGCCCUCAUGAUAAGUUCAUCAUCCAUUUCACUCAAACCCCACUAGAACCCCUCAAAUCUCAAAAACCCUAGCCGCCGCCCUCGUUUCUUCCGGUGGCGGCAUGGCUCAAAUCAUCACCAAAUAGACACUCCCUAACCAUCAGACCUCCCUUGUCCUAUAUCUGCCUUCUUUCUUCCUUGAAACAUCGACCAAGCCUUUUAAAGUGGAAUUUGAGAAUGCAAUUGAGUUUCCGAUGGAAGCCCAACAUGUAGAGUCCUCUCCAUUUCUCUUAGUUGUUACCCGUUCAUGAAUAAAAAUGGUUGGUUAACGUAAUAACAAGGUUUAGAUUGGAGAAUUAGCCCUGAGCCUAAGACGAUUCAAUAAGUUGUCAGUUUAUUUCAUUCUAUUUGUUCUGAUUAUUCCUUCUUUAUCUCCUAUCAUUGUACUCGUCUGAGUUUGCCUCGUCUAUUUUCUUUCUUCUAUUUUUCUUAUCCAUGUUACAUUAAAAAAUUAGCUAAAUAGUUUACCACUGUGUUGAGUUCUUAUUGCUCGUAGUUUGAGCUGGAAUCUCUUUUUUCGCCAUCAUUUGAUUAAUUGUUUUUCAUGAAUAAUUAAGCUAAACUUCUUAGGGUUCUGUUUGAUUUUGUUUGAUGUUAUUUUGGUUCUUCUGUCAAAAUGAUGUUUGAAUCUGGUUAAGUAACUCGUAAUUAAUGUUCAAAGUUUUAGACUUUGAUUAGUUUAGUCGGAUUAAACGUUUAUGCCUGUUCGAAUUUAGAGUAGGACUUGAGCUAUAUUUUCAGGAACACAGGGGUGUAACUUUGGUAAAAAGUUAGGAAGUAUUGGACUAAAUAAAAAAUAAAUAGAGACUAGGAUAGAAAAAUAGCCUCAUUUGUGCCUAUAAAAUGGCAUGCACUUUGCCUUGAAUAAUAAUUUUUUGGAAGCCUCAAAUUCCCUACCAAAUAGGCUUACUUUCCCAAAAGUUAAUUUUAAUUUUAAAAUCAAACAUUAGAUCUGAAAUCAUCUUCCUCAUCUUAGAAAAAUCCAAAAACAUACAGAAUAACCAUAGAAAAUACAAAGAAGAAAAAAACACUGUUACAUUGAUCAUUCUUCAAGUUUCAGUUCUUAAUUCAACUAGUUAGCUUAUUUAGGAUUAGAAUUAGUUUGGAUCUCUCUGUUUCUAUUCAAUAAUCAAAAUUUUAAAGCAUCUAAAUGUGUCUGAGGCUUAUUCGAGUUGUUGCUGGAGUUUUUGAUUGCUGAAAUUGUUCUAUGAUCUUUUGGGUCAACUUCAAGUAGGUUUGAGAUGUAUUUGAUUGAUUUACUUCUUCAUGGGUCUUGUGAAAUUGGUGAAUUCUGAUCUGUUGAGUUGCUGCUAAGUUCCCUUUUCUCUCUUGUUGUUUUACAUUUACAGGUACACAUUUGAAUCCAAAUUAAUGUGGCUCUUUGAGAUCGACAUGAAAUGAAAAAUACUCAUGCACAUUUUACUGGAUAGUGCACAUUUAGACAAUUAAGC